UAGUGAAGUUAAGGAUGUCAGGAAACUCUAAAGCCAGGUUGGUACACUAUUAAAAGCCAAGGGGCCUGACAUCACACAUGAUGAUGAUAAUGUGAAGAGAUGAGUCUGAGACUAUAAAGAAAGACCAGGAGUGAGCUAACUUGAAUGAUACCAAGGAAGAUGAUAUAAUCUGAAGAAACAAGGCGAAAAACACUUAAAAGCAAAAUGAUCUGAAAAGUGCUCACUGCUGGGAGGAGAAGCUGCCCUGGAUUUGGCAAUUUGUCACCCUGACAUUUACUGCCUGAUGAACAGCCACUCGCUAAAUUUUGCAGAGAGCUAGACUGAAUGAGACAGACCUCUCUGGCUAUUAGAAGGAGAGCUCAUAAACACUGACAUUCAUAGGGAUUGGAUUUUUUUAAUAAUAAAAGUAAGAUCCUGAUUAA
Non-coding RNA from Macaca mulatta (Rhesus monkey), 422 nucleotides. The record is from RefSeq and is a predicted model, not a curated record. Lineage: Eukaryota; Metazoa; Chordata; Mammalia; Primates; Cercopithecidae.